GACGAACGCUGGCGGCGUGCUUAACACAUGCAAGUCGAACGGAAAGGCCCUGCUUUUGUGGGGUGCUCGAGUGGCGAACGGGUGAGUAACACGUGAGUAACCUGCCCUUGACUUUGGGAUAACUUCAGGAAACUGGGGCUAAUACCGGAUAGGAGCUCCUGCUGCAUGGUGGGGGUUGGAAAGUUUCGGCGGUUGGGGAUGGACUCGCGGCUUAUCAGCUUGUUGGUGGGGUAGUGGCUUACCAAGGCUUUGACGGGUAGCCGGCCUGAGAGGGUGACCGGCCACAUUGGGACUGAGAUACGGCCCAGACGCCUACGGGAGGCAGCAGUGGGGAAUAUUGCACAAUGGGCGGAAGCCUGAUGCAGCAACGCCGCGUGCGGGAUGACGGCCUUCGGGUUGUAAACCGCUUUCGCCUGUGACGAAGCGUGAGUGACGGGAAUGGGUAAAGAAGCACCGGCUAACUACG
Molecule: ribosomal RNA, 466 nt
Filed under: uncultured bacterium
Lineage: Bacteria
Description: partial 16S ribosomal RNA
Rfam family: Bacterial small subunit ribosomal RNA
Source: RNAcentral